AAUACCCGUUGAUCCUGCGGGAGAUUGCUGCUAUCUGGAUUCGAUUAAGCCAUGCAAGUUCUGGCUCCGCAAGGAACCGGCAGAAUGCUCAGUAACACGUCGAUAAUCUGCCCUUAGAUCUGGGAUAACCUUGGGAAACUGAGGAUAACACCGGAUAGGGGAAGCUUUCUGGAACGAUGCUUCCCUGAAAGGCAACGUCUAAGGAUGAGUCGGCGGCCGAUUAGGCUGUUGGUGGGGUAACGGCCCACCAAACCAUAGAUCGGUACGGGCCAUGAGAGUGGUAGCCCGGAGAAGGACCCUGAGGUACUGGUCCUAGCCCCACGGGGUGCAGCAGGCGCGAAACCUCUACAAUGCACGAAAGUGUGAUAGGGGAAUCCAGAGUGCUCAUGCUUUGCAUGGGCUUUUGCCAAGGGCAAAUACCUUGGCGAAUAAGUGGUGGGAAAGACUGGUGCCAGCCGCCGCGGUAACACCAGCGCCACAAGUGGGGAUCGCUUUUAUUGGGCCUAAAGCGUCCGUAGCCGGUUUAGCUAAUCUCUUGUGAAAUCGUUCGGCUCAACCGAACGGCGUGCAGGAGACACUACUAGACUAGGGACCGGGAGGGGUCAGAGGUAUUCUGGGGGGAGCGGUAAAAUGCUAUAAUCCUCGGAGGACCACCGGUGGCGAAGGCGUCUGACCAGAACGGAUCCGACGGUGAGGGACGAAAGCCAGGGGAGCAAUCCGGAUUAGAUACCCGAGU
Molecule: ribosomal RNA, 736 nt
Filed under: Nanobdellati archaeon
Lineage: Archaea; Nanobdellati
Description: bacterial SSU rRNA
Rfam family: Archaeal small subunit ribosomal RNA
Source: RNAcentral